GGUGAGAUGGCCGAGUGGUUAUGGCGCCGUGUUCAGGCCUUUGUUCAAGCAGCAAAACCUUGAACAAAAAUUCGCGGUGGAGCAAUCCGCGUGGGUUCGAGUCCCACUCUCAUCA
Xylaria sp. CBS 124048 is the source of this 115-nucleotide non-coding RNA. NCBI's taxonomy places the organism in Eukaryota, Fungi, Ascomycota, Sordariomycetes, Xylariales, Xylariaceae. The record is from the annotation of a GenBank genome assembly.